This 310-nucleotide unclassified non-coding RNA is filed under the name plant metagenome. Its description in RNAcentral is "partial contains 5.8S ribosomal RNA, internal transcribed spacer 2, and large subunit ribosomal RNA". The stretch from base 1 to 105 matches the Rfam family "5.8S ribosomal RNA", at positions 50 to 154 of the family's 154-position model. The record is from RNAcentral.
GAAAUGCGAUAAGUAGUGUGAAUUGCAGAAUUCAGUGAAUCAUCGAAUCUUUGAACGCACAUUGCGCCCCUUGGUAUUCCAUGGGGCAUGCCUGUUCGAGCGUCAUUUGUACCCUCAAGCUCUGCUUGGUGUUGGGUGUUUGUCCCCGUCUCCGCGCGUGGACUCGCCCCAAAGUGAUUGGCAGCCGGCGUACUGGUCCCGGAGCGCAGCACAUGUCGCGCAAACGAGUGCCUUGGUACGGCGGCGUGCAUAAGCCCCUCUCUCACGCUCUUGACCUCGGAUCAGGUAGGGAUACCCGCUGAACUUAAGC